AGUGAACGCUGGCGGUAGGCCUAACACAUGCAAGUCGAACGGCAGCACAGUAAGAGCUUGCUCUUACGGGUGGCGAGUGGCGGACGGGUGAGGAAUAUAUCGGAAUCUACUUUUUCGUGGGGGAUAACGUAGGGAAACUUACGCUACUACCGCAUACUACCUACGGGUGAAAGCAGGGGAUCUUCGGACCUUGCGCGAUUGAAUGAGCCGAUGUCGGAUUAGCUAGUUGGCGGGGUAAAGGCCCACCAAGGCGACGAUCCGUAGCUGGUCUGAGAGGAUGAUCAGCCACACUGGAACUGAGACACGGUCCAGACUCCUACGGGAGGCAGCAGUGGGGAAUAUUGGACAAUGGGCGCAAGCCUGAUCCAGCCAUACCGCGUGGGUGAAGAAGGCCUUCGAGUUGUAAAGCCCUUUUGUUGGGAAAGAAAAGCAGCAGGUUAAUACCCCGCUGUUCCGACGGUACCCAAAGAAUAAGCACCGGCUAACUUCGUG
RNAcentral lists this ribosomal RNA (492 nucleotides) under uncultured bacterium. RNAcentral describes it as "partial 16S ribosomal RNA". It matches the Rfam family "Bacterial small subunit ribosomal RNA", at positions 29 to 507 of the family's 1533-position model. The record is from RNAcentral.